RNAcentral lists this ribosomal RNA (562 nucleotides) under uncultured bacterium. RNAcentral describes it as "bacterial SSU rRNA". It matches the Rfam family "Bacterial small subunit ribosomal RNA", at positions 338 to 916 of the family's 1533-position model. The record is from RNAcentral.
CCUACGGGAGGCAGCAGUAGGGAAUAUUGGUCAAUGGGCGAAAGCCUGAACCAGCAACGCCGCGUGCGCGAUGAAGGCCUUCGGGUCGUAAAGCGCUUUUGGGAGGGAUGAAAAUGACAGUACCUCCCGAAUAAGGAUCGGCUAACUACGUGCCAGCAGCCGCGGUAAGACGUAGGAUCCAAGCGUUAUCCGGAAUUACUGGGCGUAAAGGGCGUGUAGGAGGUUGGGCAAGUCGGCCAUGAAAGCUCCCGGCUCAACUGGGAGAGGCUGGUCGAUACUGCCUGGCUAGAGGGCAAGAGAGGGAGGUGGAAUUCCCGGUGUAGUGGUGAAAUGCGUAGAUAUCGGGAGGAACACCAGUGGCGAAGGCGGCCUCCUGGCUUGUACCUGACUCUGAAACGCGAAAGCAUGGGUAGCAAACAGGAUUAGAAACCCUGGUAGUCCAUGCCAUAAACGAUGUCAACUGGGUGUCGGCGAAGUAAAAUUUGUCGGUGCCGAAGCUAACGCGUUAAGUUGACCGCCUGAGGACUACGAUCGCAAGAUUAAAACUCAAAGGAAUUGACGG